RNAcentral lists this ribosomal RNA (228 nucleotides) under uncultured bacterium. RNAcentral's name for it is "partial 16S ribosomal RNA". It matches the Rfam family "Bacterial small subunit ribosomal RNA", at positions 103 to 334 of the family's 1533-position model. The record is from RNAcentral.
CGGGUGAGUAAUAUAUCGGAACGUACCCAAGAGUGGGGGAUAACGUAGCGAAAGUUACGCUAAUACCGCAUACGAUCUAAGGAUGAAAGCAGGGGACCGCAAGGCCUUGUGCUCCUGGAGCGGCCGAUAUCUGAUUAGCUAGUUGGUAGGGUAAAGGCCUACCAAGGCAACGAUCAGUAGCUGGUCUGAGAGGACGACCAGCCACACUGGAACUGAGACACGGUCCAG